AGUGAACGCUGGCGGUAGGCCUAACACAUGCAAGUCGAACGGCAGCACAGGAGAGCUUGCUCUCUGGGUGGCGAGUGGCGGACGGGUGAGGAAUACAUCGGAAUCUACUUUUUCGUGAGGGAUAACGUAGGGAAACUUACGCUAAUACCGCAUACGACCUACUGGUGAAAGCAGGGGACCUUCGGGCCUUGCGCGAUUGACUGAGCCGAUGUCGGAUUAGCUAGUUGGCGGGGUAAAGGCCCACCAAGGCGACGAUCCGUAGCUGGCCUGAGAGGAUGAACAGCCACACUGGAACUGAGACACGGUCCAGACUCCUACGGGAGGCAGCAGUGGGGAAUAUUGGACAAUGGGCGCAAGCCUGAUCCAGCCAUACCGCGUGGGUGAAGAAGGCCUUCGGGUUGUAAAGCCCUUUUGUUGGGAAAGAAAUCCAUCUGGUUAAUACCCGGGUGGGAUGACGGUACCCAAAGAAUAAGCACCGGCUAACUUCGUGCCAGCAGCCGCCGUAA
This 506-nucleotide ribosomal RNA is filed under the name uncultured bacterium. RNAcentral describes it as "partial 16S ribosomal RNA". It matches the Rfam family "Bacterial small subunit ribosomal RNA", at positions 29 to 523 of the family's 1533-position model. The record is from RNAcentral.